RNAcentral lists this ribosomal RNA (580 nucleotides) under Fusarium verticillioides. RNAcentral describes it as "eukaryotic LSU rRNA". The stretch from base 200 to 353 matches the Rfam family "5.8S ribosomal RNA". Lineage: Eukaryota; Fungi; Ascomycota; Sordariomycetes; Hypocreales; Nectriaceae. The record is from RNAcentral.
AGUAAAAGUCGUAACAAGGUCUCCGUUGGUGAACCAGCGGAGGGAUCAUUACCGAGUUUACAACUCCCAAACCCCUGUGAACAUACCACUUGUUGCCUCGGCGGAUCAGCCCGCUCCCGGUAAAACGGGACGGCCCGCCAGAGGACCCCUAAACUCUGUUUCUAUAUGUAACUUCUGAGUAAAACCAUAAAUAAAUCAAAACUUUCAACAACGGAUCUCUUGGUUCUGGCAUCGAUGAAGAACGCAGCAAAAUGCGAUAAGUAAUGUGAAUUGCAGAAUUCAGUGAAUCAUCGAAUCUUUGAACGCACAUUGCGCCCGCCAGUAUUCUGGCGGGCAUGCCUGUUCGAGCGUCAUUUCAACCCUCAAGCCCUCGGGUUUGGUGUUGGGGAUCGGCGAGCCCUUGCGGCAAGCCGGCCCCGAAAUCUAGUGGCGGUCUCGCUGCAGCCUCCAUUGCGUAGUAGUAAAACCCUCGCAACUGGAACGCGGCGCGGCCAAGCCGUUAAACCCCCAACUUCUGAAUGUUGACCUCGGAUCAGGUAGGAAUACCCGCUGAACUUAAGCAUAUCAAUAAGCGGAGGAA